GUGAGGAAUAUUGCGCAAUGGACGAAAGUCUGACGCAGCCAUGCCGCGUGAAGGAUUGACGGCCCUAUGGGUUGUAAACUUCUUUUGUAUAGGAAUAAACCCUCGUUCGUGAACGAGGCUGAAGGUACUAUAAGAAUAAGCACCGGCUAACUCCGUGCCAGCAGCCGCGGUAAUACGGAGGGUGCAAGCGUUAUCAGGAUUUAUUGGGUUUAAAGGGUCCGUAGGCGGAUCGUUAAGUCAGUGGUGAAAUCCUACCGCUCAACGGUAGAACUGCCAUUGACACUGGCGAUCUUGAGUAUGUAUGAAGUUCGCGGAAUGUGUGGUGUAGCGGUGAAAUGCUUAGAUAUCACACAGAACACCGAUUGCGAAGGCAGCUGACUAAUACACAACUGACGCUGAGGGACGAAAGUGUGGGGAUCAAACAGGAUUAGAUACCCCAGUAGUCC
Molecule: ribosomal RNA, 446 nt
Filed under: uncultured bacterium
Lineage: Bacteria
Description: partial 16S ribosomal RNA
Rfam family: Bacterial small subunit ribosomal RNA
Source: RNAcentral